GACGAAGGAUGCAAGCGUUAUCCGGAUUCAUUGGGUUUAAAGGGUGCGUAGGCGGACUAAUAAGUCAGUGGUGAAAUCUCUCGGCUUAACCGAGAAACUGCCAUUGAUACUGUUAGUCUAGAGUAUAGAUGACGUUGGCGGAAUAUGACAUGUAGUGGUGAAAUACUUAGAUAUGUCAUAGAACACCGAUUGCGAAGGCAGCUAACGAAACUAUAACUGACGCUGAGGCACGAAAGUGCGGGGAUCAAACAGG
RNAcentral lists this ribosomal RNA (253 nucleotides) under uncultured bacterium. RNAcentral's name for it is "partial 16S ribosomal RNA". It matches the Rfam family "Bacterial small subunit ribosomal RNA", at positions 524 to 776 of the family's 1533-position model. The record is from RNAcentral.